GAUGAAGAACGUAGCGAAAUGCGAUAAGUAAUGUGAAUUGCAGAAUUCAGUGAAUCAUCGAAUCUUUGAACGCACAUUGCGCCCGUUAGCAUUCUAGCGGGCAUGCCUGUCCGAGCGUCGUUUCAACCCUCAGGGUCCCCGUUCCGGCGGGGAACCUGGUGUUGGGGAUCGGCCCGCCCCGUGCGGCGCCGUCCCCCAAAUUCAGUGGCGGUCUCGCUGCAGCCUCCCCUGCGUAGUAGUUACAACCUCGCAUCGGAGCUCAGCGCGGCCACGCCGUAAAACCCCCGACUUUCUGAACGUUGACCUCGGAUCAGGUAGGAAUACCCGCUGAACUUAAGCAUAUCAAUAAGCGGAGGA
This 357-nucleotide unclassified non-coding RNA is filed under the name soil metagenome. Its description in RNAcentral is "partial contains 5.8S ribosomal RNA, internal transcribed spacer 2, and large subunit ribosomal RNA". The stretch from base 1 to 120 matches the Rfam family "5.8S ribosomal RNA", at positions 35 to 154 of the family's 154-position model. The record is from RNAcentral.